Molecule: non-coding RNA, 5820 nt
Organism: Podarcis lilfordi (Lilford's wall lizard)
Lineage: Eukaryota; Metazoa; Chordata; Lepidosauria; Squamata; Lacertidae
Source: the annotation of a GenBank genome assembly
CCUGAUUAAAAUGGAAGGGUGAAAGGGAGAUGGGUUGGCGGAAAGAGAGACGGAGGUUCAAAAGAGGGCGGCGAAAGUGUGUGGGGAGGUGGCCUGCUCUUGCUUUCCGUCCCAUCCUCUUUCCUUCGUGUACUUCUAAUAUGGAACAGUCGCUUAUUCUCUUGAGUUCAGGGAUUUGUUCUCGCCUUACAGGUGGGAGAGGAAGGGGCGAACUUUUCAUAGGGUCAUGGAAUUGUAGAGUUGGAAGAGAUCCUGAGGGUCAUCUAGUCCAAUCCCCCGCGAUGCAGGAAUCUCAACUAAAGCAUCCAUGGAAGAUGGCCACCCAACCUCUGCUUAAAAACCUCCAAGGAAGGAGAGUGCACUACCUUCUGAGGAAGUCCGUUCCACUGUCGAACAGCUCUCACUGUCAGAAAGUUAUAAAAAAAUUGUCCAGUAGAACCUUAGAGACCAACUAAGUAUGUUCUGGGUAUAAGCUUUCGUUUAUAAGCUUCUUUCUGAAGUGUGCAUGCACACGAAAGCUUAUACCCAGAACAUACUUAGUUGGUCUCUAAGGUGCUAUUUAUUUCGACUGUGUCAGACCAACAUGGCUACCUACCUGAAUCUUUUCAGAAAGUUAUUCCUGAUGUUCUGAGUGAGGCAGAUGUUCUUCCUUUUUUCUAUUUGUAACACAUGGGGAUUCCCUGAGUGCUGUUCGCAAACACUUCAGUGGUGAUACUGAAUUGGAAUGAGUGGUAUUCAGCUAAGUUCCACUCAGAUUAAACCUGUUGAAAUCAAUGGAUCUUAGUCAUGUUCAUAAAUUUCAGUGGGUCUACUUAGUUGAAUACCACCCAUCGUGGUGGUUGUGUUUUAAUCAUUAGUUUAAGAAGUUAUCUCCAUGUAUUUAAGGCUCUGACCUUAUAUUACUUAGGAAUAAAUACAACUGGAUUCCUUGUGGGUCAAAUAGGAUAGUGCACGAGUGUUUUAAAAAUAGACAACAAUUUUGCAGGAUGACUGUUUCAAAAGAGUCCUUUAUUUCAGGGAUCACUUAGUUCAGUAUGACUUCUGAGUAAAAUGUGGAUAGGAUUGAGCUGCAUAUAUUCCUCCCCCCCCAAUUUAACCCUAUUUGUAAUUGUUUUUCAGAUUAUAUUUUAAGAAUAACUUUGCCCUUGGGAAUAGGUAUUUGUGACCAAAUUGAGCAGGGUAGUUGGAAGGAAUAAAUGGCAUGCAGCUGGUGGUGGAGUGUAGUAAAAUCAACUUGAGGUCAGGCCCAGAUUAAAGCAACUGGAGGCUCUGGGUUAGGAGACCUUGGGAGGCCAAAACCUAAGAGCAUCUGAUCAUGAGAAAUGAAACAUUGUUAUCUUCUUUAACUGCUCAACGAAAGUAGAAAAUUUCUGACAUUUUAGCAUUGAUAAAAAGUUUAUUAAAGUAUGGAAUUAAUGAAGACAUCCACACAGAACAUUAUUAGGGGAAUCAUAGCUGUGUUAUAACAUUACACUAUAUACAAAGUCAGAACAGUUUCUUUUGUGCUCUUUUGGAUGCAGAUUUAUCAAUUACAGUAUAUCAUUAAAAUCAGUAAGUUACAGUUUGUCAUUUUCUAUGCAGAGAAUGCUUAGAUCAGACAAUCAAUCUUGUGACGUUGUUGGCGGUAGAUCAUUCUUUAUCCCUUUUAGUCUAGAAAACGAUCUUUUACUAGUACAGUUUGUAACCAUUAAACACAGGAACAAUCUGAAAAUUGUUUCCACAUUUGGAAAAGCUGUUCAAAUUUUCUCCUGUAAUAUUUGAUACAUAUCUUGGUGGCUGAAAUUUUCUUUUUUCAAGGUGAGCUUGUUUGAUGUACAGGUGAAAGUGUAAGAGUUCUGCAGUAGUAAGCAGCAAAUAUUUGCACAUGUGCUUAAUGAAAUUUGUGAACUUUGGAGUGCCUUUCUAACUUUAUGAAAGUGUGCCCAAAACUAAAACAUGAAAAUGAAUUAAAAUCCUUCCAUUUUUUGCAGAUUUUCAGCCUGUCGUCUAAGUAUCUCUUUUUUUCAGAUUCAUCACAGUAAAUAUGACUGAGGGCUUCAACAAUGUAAGUAAGCAUAACAUUCACUAAUAGCUGCAGUAGCUUUGGCAUUAGCCUCCCUUCUUGUGUCUGAUAAAUGUUUAGGAACUUUUGACUCAAGAGGCUGAUAUUUAUGCAGAAGAUGAGAAAAAACAAUAAAGCUCAUUUAUUACGGCAAAAAAAUUCACUGCAUCCAGGGACAAGUCAGCUGUGGUUUGUCCAACUCGAUUUAGGGACUGUCCAGCGCAAUGGAAUAAACUUUGCAAGCUUGUUCCUUUCCAGAAUAUUUUGUGGAAUGUUGUUAUAUUUUCCGGCCAUAUUAUCUGCAUUGUCAUAUGAUUUACUGAAAUCAUAUGUACUGAAAUCAUAUGUUCAGUGAAGUAGUUCAGUAUCGGCUCAACCAUACUUUCACUGGUGUGGUAUUUCAGUUCAAAAAACUCAGAAAGCAUUCAGCUGGUGAUCCAUCGCUAGGAGAAACAUAUCUAACCAUAAGUUGAUCAACAUGGGAAACAUCAGGGUUUGAAUCAACAGAUAAACUAAAAUAACCUGCCAGUUUGAUGUUGCCCAGUAUGGCUUCUUGAACUGUAUAAGCCAUCAGCUGGAUAACCUAUUCACAUAUGGUUUUGGAGAAGUAUGAUAGCUGACGAGAGGCUUUACUUCCAUAUUGAUUUAUGUGAGUGCACAGGAAAUGAUCAAAUCUGGCAAUUAAUUCAAGCAGUCUAAGAAAGUUACCAUUGUCUGGUGAACCAAAUGUUUCAACAUUUCCAUGAAAUGCCAAGCCACGUUCCCCCAAAAGGGAAAUCACUGCAAUAACUCGCUGAAGUAUGUGCAGCUCCAGUAAUCCUGCUUUGAUUGGUUCUUUGAGUUUUUAUGUGAGUGUUUGAGCACACUUUCUUUUUAAGUAUGUUAGCAGAGAGUUUGUAUAAUUUUUAGAGUUUCUAUGGGUUUUAACAAGAUAAGUGUGAUGCCAAUCAUCAAAUACAGUAGAACCUAAAGUUGUAGUUGAGGUAGUUUGGUUAGAGAAAGGUUUGUGCACAAGACAGUAGACACUUCCUUUUGUGGGGGAAUACACUAGCCAUUCUUGAGGGUAUGUUUAUCCAUUUACUUUGGUGGAAUAGAAUAAUUUUUUGAACAGAUCCAGACUCUGUUUUUAGAUGUUUGCUUCAAAGUGGUAAAAGGUCCAUCCCAGUGCUGACAUUCCGAUGGACCUUUCUCAAUCCAGAAUGAUAUUUCCUUGUUAUUUAAUGUGGACCACAAACCUAUGACAUUAUUGUCUCUAAAAUCACUAGUAGCAUGAACCGUUGGUAUUUUUGUGUCUGCAAUGUAAGGGUUUUCACUCAGAUAAUUUGCUUUAUUUUCCAUACUUUAAGACAGUAAAGAGCUUGAACUGCUUCUUUUGGUACAACCAUCUCAUGGUAUGGUCCUUCAGCACCUUGUGUUAAUUCUUGGGCCGUAGGUCCUACCACUUCAUUGUCACUUUCUCCAGUUGUUUCUGUACUUGUAGUGGUAGUUACCGACAACAAUUCUCCUUGAAGGUCUUGGGAGGCUGUGUUCUGUAUAUAAACUGGUUGUUAUUCAGUCUGCUCAGACUACUCAGUGUAGUCUACUUGAUUUUCUUCUGUUUGUAAACAUGAAUGUUCUGUAUGAGGGAUUAUGUAAGGCUGUUUCUGCUUGGUUUACAAAGCCAUAUGACAUGAUUGGCUUUAAACAUUUGAGUAUUUCCUUCUGUGUUUUUUGUUGUUGUUGUUGCUUUCAUUUACUAGCACCACUUUCAUAGCGCUUACUCAUUAUUUUUUUCACAAGAAGUAAAAAUUAAAUAUUGUGAUUCACAGUGAUAUAAAAGGCAGUGAUCAGAACACUUGUAUUGCUUUAUCAUUUGAUUCUGAGUAGUUUUAAAGCCUCUGUGAAAUUUACUAAAUAGUAGAGUAUGCACUUGUGUAACUGUUAUACAGUCAUAGAUUCAUACACCACAUGUUUAAUAUUACUAAGCAACUGGGCCUAAAUAGUAAAAUCUGCCUGUUUACUUUUUUAUUUUGCAAGAGGCCAAGGCCCUCCCUAGAUUAUAAGGCCCUGCGCUGCAGCUAGCUCAGCCCAUAUGUAAAUCAGAUCUUUGGGCCUCAGGCCUCCAUGGUGAGGACCCUACCCAAUGGGGGCUUUAUGUAUAAGCACAUGCUCUUUAUUCAUAAGCAUCCAAAAGUUGUCUAUGAUGGCUCUGUCCCAAGUUCCCUUCUUGUUAGCUUGAUUGCCUUUUGAUUAGGUUGCAUGUUUUAAUUGCAGCCUAAUCAAAAAGCAAUCAAGCUAAAAAGGUAUUUAGGCAAUUAAUAAUCUAUCAUUAAAGCUAUGUGGGCCAAUCCAAUGCAUUGAAUUUUAUUCAGAAGUAAGCCCCGUUAAGUUCAGUGAGGCUUGCUCCAACAUAAGUGUGCCUAGGGUUUAUUGCAUUCUUAAUUUCAGAUCAAAAUCUGCUCCUUCCCUUUAGUUAAAUAGGCUUGAUAAUAAACCAUGUGCCACUGUUCCUAUCAUGCAGGUCCAUCUCCAUAUAGUCAAUGUAAUAAAACAAAGAUGGGUGAAAAAAGGAGCACAACAUCUUUUUGUUGUGGUUGUAGACAUGACUCAACGACUAAACAAAAACAACAAAAAGACGGGUGCUCCUUUUUUCACUGUAUCUAAAAAUAACACAUUUACAAUAAGGUAAACCCACAAUCCUUUCCCUAAUGGCACUAGAAAUUACAGGUAAAUCAAUCUGAUGGUGCUUUGCAGAAACUGAUGUCCAUACUCAUGUUAAAUCUUCAUCUGCUGUGAUACUGAUGAGAUUACAUGCUCAUUUUUAGUCAUAUUUCUUCCUGGUAUGUUGAGGUAUUAGACAAUAUUCUGUAUUCCAUACAGUACUCCCAAUUUGAUCGGGGGAAAUUAAAAUACAAUUUCUUAGUAACACCGAGGGCAGCUUUUGUUUAUUAUGCUUAAGUUGGCUUAUUUAAAAGGAACAUUCUUUACAACGUACAUAACCUAAGUCAAUAGCCACACUUCAGCUUUUGUGCAAUAUGCCCCAAACCCCAUUUUUAUGGCAGCUAGCUUGCCAUAUUUGGUCUGGCUGAGACAAAGAUCUAGUCCCUAUUUACCUCCACAUUCCAGCCCUUCAACCCAUCAUCCCCUUACCAUCCAAGUCUCAUUGUCUGACCUCAUCUCCUGUCAUGUGGCAACUGUUUACCUGCUUCUGUUUUACAGCUCCCAGGUAUACUGAUUUACCACAGACCCUGAACCAGGAGAGAAUCUGAAAAACAUACACAGUAACUCCUGCUUAAUGAAGAUGUUCACCUAGAUCACUGCCUCAAGCAACAAAUUCUUUAGCUAUCUUUGUCAGUUUUUUAUCUAAGUCAGGGGUCAGCAACCUUUUUCAGCCAUGGGCCAAUCCACCGUCUCUCAGACCUUGUGGGGGGUCGGACUAUAUUUUGGAAAAAAAUAUAUGAACGAAUUCCUAUGCCCCACAAAUAACCCAGAGAUGCAUUUUAAAUAAAAGCACACAUUCUACUCAUGUAAAAACACACUGAUUCCUUAACUGUCCGCGGGCCGGAUUGAGAAGGCAAUUGGGCCGCAUCCGGCCCACGGGCCUUAGGUUGCCUACCCUUGAUCUAAGUUCUAAGAAGGUACUUUAUUGUGUGUGACAACACUCAGGUAUGCCAGUGAAGUGGAACCCAUGUGACUGCCUUAUAUGAAUGGACCACAUUACAUUUACAUCCCAAAUUGCAAAUGGAGGGUCAGAAGAAAAUAACUUUGUUGUUAGGAUUGCUUAACCCUAUUAAACCUGG